GUGGGGAAUUUUGGACAAUGGGCGCAAGCCUGAUCCAGCCAUGCCGCGUGUGUGAAGAAGGCCUUCGGGUUGUAAAGCACUUUCGGCCGGAACGAAAUCGCGCGGGUGAACAUCCCGCGUGGAUGACGGUACCGGAAGAAGAAGCACCGGCUAACUACGUGCCAGCAGCCGCGGUAAUACGUAGGGUGCGAGCGUUAAUCGGAAUUACUGGGCGUAAAGGGUGCGCAGGCGGCUCCGCAAGUCAGGCGUGAAAUCCCCGGGCUUAACCUGGGAAUGGCGCUUGAAACUACGGGGCUGGAGUAUGGCAGAGGGAGGUGGAAUUCCACGUGUAGCGGUGAAAUGCGUAGAGAUGUGGAGGAACACCGAUGGCGAAGGCAGCCUCCUGGGCCAAUACUGACGCUCAUGCACGAAAGCGUGGGGAGCAAACAGGAUUAGAAACCCGUGUAGUCC
RNAcentral lists this ribosomal RNA (450 nucleotides) under uncultured bacterium. Its description in RNAcentral is "bacterial SSU rRNA". It matches the Rfam family "Bacterial small subunit ribosomal RNA", at positions 354 to 796 of the family's 1533-position model. The record is from RNAcentral.